RNAcentral lists this ribosomal RNA (497 nucleotides) under uncultured bacterium. RNAcentral describes it as "partial 16S ribosomal RNA". It matches the Rfam family "Bacterial small subunit ribosomal RNA", at positions 28 to 507 of the family's 1533-position model. The record is from RNAcentral.
GAUGAACGCUGGCGGCGUGCCUAAUACAUGCAAGUCGAGCGAACGGACGAUAAGCUUGCUUCUCUGAGGUUAGCGGCUGACGGGUGAGUAACACGUGGAUAACCUACCUAUAUGACUGGGAUAACUUCGGGAAACCGUAGCUAAUACCGGAUAAUAUUUUGAACCGCAUGGUUCAAAAGUGAAAGACGCUCUUGCUGUCACUUAUAGCUGGUUCCGCGCUGCAUUAGCUAGUUGGUAAGGUAACGGCCUACCAAGGCAACGAUGCAUAGCCGACCUGAGAGGAUGAUCGGCCACACUGGAACUGAGACACGGUCCAGACUCCUACGGGAGGCAGCAGUAGGGAAUCUUCCGCAAUGGGCGAAAGCCUGACGGAGCCACGCCGCGUGAGUGAUGAAGGUCUUCGGAUCGUAAAGCUCUGUUAUUAGGGAAGAACAUAUGUGUAAGUAACUGUGCACAUCUUGACGGUACCCAAACAGAAAGCCACGGCUAACUACGUG